GGAGCUGUAGCUCAGUGGGUGAGCAUCAGCUUUGCAUGCAGAAGGUCGCAGGUUCAAUCCCCAAUGACAGCUCAA
Molecule: non-coding RNA, 75 nt
Organism: Podarcis lilfordi (Lilford's wall lizard)
Lineage: Eukaryota; Metazoa; Chordata; Lepidosauria; Squamata; Lacertidae
Source: the annotation of a GenBank genome assembly